This 707-nucleotide ribosomal RNA is filed under the name Listeria monocytogenes. RNAcentral describes it as "bacterial SSU rRNA". It matches the Rfam family "Bacterial small subunit ribosomal RNA", at positions 1 to 689 of the family's 1533-position model. The record is from RNAcentral. Lineage: Bacteria; Bacillati; Bacillota; Bacilli; Caryophanales; Listeriaceae.
UUUAAAGAGAGUUUGAUCCUGGCUCAGGACGAACGCUGGCGGCGUGCCUAAUACAUGCAAGUCGAACGAACGGAGGAAGAGCUUGCUCUUCCAAAGUUAGUGGCGGACGGGUGAGUAACACGUGGGCAACCUGCCUGUAAGUUGGGGAUAACUCCGGGAAACCGGGGCUAAUACCGAAUGAUAAAGUGUGGCGCAUGCCACGCUUUUGAAAGAUGGUUUCGGCUAUCGCUUACAGAUGGGCCCGCGGUGCAUUAGCUAGUUGGUAGGGUAAUGGCCUACCAAGGCAACGAUGCAUAGCCGACCUGAGAGGGUGAUCGGCCACACUGGGACUGAGACACGGCCCAGACUCCUACGGGAGGCAGCAGUAGGGAAUCUUCCGCAAUGGACGAAAGUCUGACGGAGCAACGCCGCGUGUAUGAAGAAGGUUUUCGGAUCGUAAAGUACUGUUGUUAGAGAAGAACAAGGAUAAGAGUAACUGCUUGUCCCUUGACGGUAUCUAACCAGAAAGCCACGGCUAACUACGUGCCAGCAGCCGCGGUAAUACGUAGGUGGCAAGCGUUGUCCGGAUUUAUUGGGCGUAAAGCGCGCGCAGGCGGUCUUUUAAGUCUGAUGUGAAAGCCCCCGGCUUAACCGGGGAGGGUCAUUGGAAACUGGAAGACUGGAGUGCAGAAGAGGAGAGUGGAAUUCCACGUGUAGCGGUGAAAUGC